RNAcentral lists this long non-coding RNA (784 nucleotides) under Helianthus annuus (common sunflower). RNAcentral describes it as "sRNA HanXRQr2_Chr03g0126871". The record is from RNAcentral. Lineage: Eukaryota; Viridiplantae; Streptophyta; Magnoliopsida; Asterales; Asteraceae.
UUUCCAACUUGAAAUCUGGAAAUUCAAAGUGUAAAUCUUGUUAAUGCAAGUUUAUAAUCUGAUUUCUAGCAUCAUCAUCUCUUUUUUUUGAAUUUAGAAGAUUAGCUAAAAUCCAACAAGGAACGCAAGGUGGAAGCUUUGGGCAAACAAGGUAAGUGAUUUCUGUAAUCACUUCUUAUUUUAUUUAAGUAAAGUAGCGUUAGUUGAUUAAGCAUGAUGAGGUUUGAAGUUUCAUAUGGUUUUGUUCGUAUGAAAUUGGUAAUUUUAGCUUAGUAGACCGAAUGGGACAAUAUAAAGUUGUAAUGAUAUGACGAAUAAUGUCUAUGUAAUGGCUACGGUAUGUAACCGGGUAAUGGGUAAAAUUGCACAUAAGUGCACCAACCGAGAAUGGGGACUUAGGUUAAUGGGUCAAAGUGAAGGUAUACUUUAGCACGGAACGUUUGUACAAGCAAUGUCGAUAGUAUUUCAUGUGCCCGGUUAGUGUAAGGUGUUAUAACAUUAACAUUAUGUGAGCCUUAAGUGUAAACAUAUGAGUUGUUGAUAAAUGCAUGACGGGUCGAAUAAUUCGUAAUGAAUAAUAAGCCGAAAAUGUAUAAGUUAAGAAUUUCCUUAACCCGGAUGUUGGAUUUUAAGUUCACAUAAUAGAAUGUUAGUUUACAAUCAUGCAGGAAGAAACGGGAGGUUAAUCGGGUAAACGGUUUAAAAGCUAUGCAAGUUUUUGUGCGUGCGAACGACAAAACAACACAGCAGAAAAAUGGCAAAACUAGAGGCCGUCGCCGACGCC